GCCAGGCAUGGUGGUGCAUGCCUGUAGUCCCAGGUACUUGGGAGGCUGAGGUGGGAGGAUUGCUUGAGCCCAGGAGUUCAAGGCUGCAGUGAGCUAUGAUUGUGCUAUGUACUCUAGCCUGGGCUACAGAGUAAGACCCCGUCUCAA
Macaca fascicularis (crab-eating macaque) is the source of this 147-nucleotide unclassified non-coding RNA. It matches the Rfam family "Metazoan signal recognition particle RNA". Rfam says of the family: The signal recognition particle (SRP) is a universally conserved ribonucleoprotein. It is involved in the co-translational targeting of proteins to membranes. NCBI's taxonomy places the organism in Eukaryota, Metazoa, Chordata, Mammalia, Primates, Cercopithecidae. The record is from Ensembl.